This 777-nucleotide unclassified non-coding RNA is filed under the name Hevea brasiliensis (rubber tree). Lineage: Eukaryota; Viridiplantae; Streptophyta; Magnoliopsida; Malpighiales; Euphorbiaceae. The record is from RNAcentral.
AAAAAAAAAAAAAUAAUAAAUAUUAUGUUCUAAGUUUUUUGCAUUAGAAAAUAUAACAGAAGAUAUUUGUUUGAAAAGUAUAGUUAUAGUAAUAUAUCUAAAAUUUUCAUGCAAUGUAAUCAUAUGCAUAUAAAAGUGAAACUUAAAUAAAACAGAGACAAGUGCAAAAGAGGAUUUUGUAUUGAAUUUUCAUAGUAACAGCAAUACAAUAGUUCAUUCUUCUUUGACAGAGCAAUAAUGGAGGCUUCUCAAUUCACUCAUUCAAUACAAGUAAAAUAAAGUAAGAAACAGAAUUUCAGCAACAAUGAUAACUCCUGCCCAAGCAAUGAUGCCAUUGAUUGAUUGAAGUUCAUCACAUGCCUCUCCCUUUUGUUUCUUGGUUCCUUUUUGUAUCAUCUUUAUUGCAGCUUCUGUGAUUUUUUACGAGGAGAAUCCAUGGGUGGCAUUCUUUCCGUGAUUUUCUCCAACCAACUUGGCUCCUCCGCCCAUAUUUCUUCUAGCUCUCUGUUUCCAGAUUCUGCCAUUCCUUUAUUCUUUCGAAAAUACACCCUGAGUGCUCCUGGGCUUGUUUGAUCCCCUGGUGAGCCCACCUUCUUAGCCUGUUUCUUAACAAAAUGAUCAAGAAUUAAUCAGCAUUAGGGAUGCAGAUAAAUAUUUGCAGGAGCUACCAGCCAUGUUAUCUGAAAAAUGAUAGCUCUAGGUGGUGGCUCAUUCAACAAGUCGUAGGUCCCUAUCCCUUAUAUUCAAGCAACGCCAAGCAUAAACAGGCUACCUCAA